AGUGAACGCUGGCGGUAGGCCUAACACAUGCAAGUCGAACGGCAGCACAGUAAGAGCCUGCUCUUACGGGUGGCGAGUGGCGGACGGGUGAGGAAUACAUCGGAAUCUACUUUUUCGUGGGGGAUAACGUAGGGAAACUUACGCUAAUACCGCAUACGACCUACGGGUGAAAGCAGGGGAUCUUCGGACCUUGCGCGAUUGAAUGAGCCGAUGUCGGAUUAGCUAGUUGGCGGGGUAAAGGCCCACCAAGGCGACGAUCCGUAGCUGGUCUGAGAGGAUGAUCAGCCACACUGGAACUGAGACACGGUCCAGACUCCUACGGGAGGCAGCAGUGGGGAAUAUUGGACAAUGGGCGCAAGCCUGAUCCAGCUAUACCGCGUGGGUGAAGAAGGCCUUCGGGUUGUAAAGCCCUUUUGUUGGGAAAGAAAAGCAGCAGGUUAAUACCCCGCUGUUCUGACGGUACCCAAAGAAUAAGCACCGGCUAACUUCGUG
This 492-nucleotide ribosomal RNA is filed under the name uncultured bacterium. RNAcentral's name for it is "partial 16S ribosomal RNA". It matches the Rfam family "Bacterial small subunit ribosomal RNA", at positions 29 to 507 of the family's 1533-position model. The record is from RNAcentral.